Molecule: ribosomal RNA, 460 nt
Filed under: uncultured bacterium
Lineage: Bacteria
Description: partial 16S ribosomal RNA
Rfam family: Bacterial small subunit ribosomal RNA
Source: RNAcentral
CCUACGGGUGGCAGCAGUGAGGAAUAUUGGUCAAUGGCCGAGAGGCUGAACCAGCCAAGUCGCGUGAGGGAAGAAUGUCCUAUGGAUUGUAAACCUCUUUUGUCAGGGAGCAAAGUCACCCACGUGUGGGUGUUGGAGAGUACCUGAAGAAAAAGCAUCGGCUAACUCCGUGCCAGCAGCCGCGGUAAUACGGAGGAUGCGAGCGUUAUCCGGAUUUACUGGGUGUAAAGGGCGUGCAGCCGGGAAGACAAGUCAGAUGUGAAAUCCCGCGGCUCAACCGCGGAACUGCAUUUGAAACUGUUGUUCUUGAGUACCGGAGAGGUCAUCGGAAUUCCUUGUGUAGCGGUGAAAUGCGUAGAUAUAAGGAAGAACACCAGUGGCGAAGGCGGAUGACUGGACGGCAACUGACGGUGAGGCGCGAAAGCGUGGGGAGCAAACAGGAUUAGAUACCCGAGUAGUC